GUGAACCUGAAGAGUGAAAAGAUCGGCAGAUUGACCGACAACUUUGUCAUAUUGCAGACCUUCUGCAGCAAGCCCAGCCAUUGCUACAACUGCCAACCUGGGAAAAGUUACAACAGCUCGACAUUUAUUAGGAUAGUAUGAAAGUUGCAAAAGCUAUCAAAUGGGUACCUAUCAAGUUCCUUCGCAUCAAGCUGGCCACUGUAUAUAAGUUUCUCUAGCCUUUCAUCGAUAAGAUUGACAUUCUCCUUCCCGAUAUCCAGAGAAUAACCCAGAAUAGGAAGACCAAGCAAAUAGGCAGCUGCAAUUGAAAGAGAAUAUCAUAUAGUAAGAAAGCAACCAAAUGACUCAGGUCAUCAUGUUUCGAUGCAUUGUUGCAGAUAAUGAGAGUACUUAAGAAAUGUGCCGCCUCAUGUCUGGCUACCCUCUCCUGAUAAUCUGGAAAAAACGAUGAAAACCCUUGAAUUGCAGCUUGAAGAAGCCUGCUCAGCAAAUCAAGUGAACUUUCUGAUAUUUGAACUUCAAAUACAAGACUCUAUGAUAAAAAGCAAACUUCAAAAUGUUACCCUGGUGAAAUGCUUCCCACAGCCAAGACUAUCAAAGAAAUGCUUCCGAUCAAGUAUGGUACAAAGAACCCCCAGUCCUACACAGACAAUACAGGUGGAUGAAGACCAGAAAUUGUCACAAAUUUCUAAUAUCUGUUACUUUAGUAACUGUGACAUGGUUGAGGGAAUUCUCAGGUCUUCUGAAGAAGAGAGAAAUGAAAGUUACCCCGGGAAGUUGGCCAGCAAGAAGACCCAGAAAUCCUGUUGUUCCCACCACCGUGAAGAGAAAAGCUGCCUGCAUCACAGAAAGCGAUCAAACAUAUGAACAGCCCUCUGAUAGUUAAGCAUUAAAUUUUGAUCAAAACAAGAAGCUGUCACAUUAGUGUACUUACAUCAUUUCUGAUGCUAGGGAUUGCGAGGUUCUCUGCAUUUUUUAUUCCGAGAGAUGUCAGCUCGCGGAGAGAUGUCUGGUUCAUGAUAAAUUCAAGCAUCAAACAACCUAUGUUUCGAGCAUCUUGACACAGAACUAUGAUAUAUUAAAAGCAUUGGUGAGCAAAUAUUAUUGAUGUACAUGUAUGCAAAAGGUUUCCAGAGAUUGCUAAAGUUUCAAGGGCAGUUUCCCAGAACUUCAUACUCUUUCUAAUUGAGACUGACCGUACGGCGUGAGACAUACGGCUGAGAACUCCAUUUCUUGGCCCAUCCCUCUUCACUCAGCUGAUCAAGCGCCUCCUUAACUGCAUUACUGUCUUUCUGCAACACAACAGAAAUACACAGUGCGCCAGAAACUCAGAUUCACACCUUUUGCUCUAAUACCCUGUUAGAUAACUAUUUGAAAACGUUGGGAGAAGAAACUACAUACCUUGUCAACAGCGGAUUGCAGGGUGUUGAGAUCAACACCAGGUGCAGCAGAAGAGGAAGAAGAUUUGAUUUGUGGGAGCUUGAAGGAGUUUUUAUAUUUAUAUUGAUGGUGAAAUGCAGUCAAUGUAGCAGGCUUUGAGAGAUGAAGAAUCAAGUUCAUGGUGAAAAUAAUAAUUUUAUUUUGUUUGUUUUAUAUUUUUUGGGUUUGAGCUUGCUCUUAGAGGGAAAAGAUUUUGUUUGUGGCCAAGAGGAAGAAGAGAUAAGGUAGUUGGGUUUGGCGCUUCAGGAUCAGUUGUUAGUUAUUCGACUUGUGAGACUGAGAUUGUAACACAUCACUCGGGCUUGACCAAGCGUUGAUAGCACUUGGGUGAAUACUGUCACUUUUUAAAAUAUAUGGACGAACUGGUAAUAAACCAAUUAGAUUUAUUGUUGGCAA
This is a long non-coding RNA of Mangifera indica (mango), 1836 nucleotides long. RefSeq lists it as uncharacterized. The record is from RefSeq and is a predicted model, not a curated record. The transcript is spliced from 2 exons. NCBI's taxonomy places the organism in Eukaryota, Viridiplantae, Streptophyta, Magnoliopsida, Sapindales, Anacardiaceae.